This 571-nucleotide ribosomal RNA is filed under the name Lophiostoma sp. OTU1 TS-2013. Its description in RNAcentral is "eukaryotic LSU rRNA". It matches the Rfam family "Eukaryotic large subunit ribosomal RNA", at positions 62 to 648 of the family's 3401-position model. Lineage: Eukaryota; Fungi; Ascomycota; Dothideomycetes; Pleosporales; Lophiostomataceae. The record is from RNAcentral.
AAACCAACAGGGAUUGCCCUAGUAACGGCGAGUGAAGCGGCAAGAGCUCAAAUUUGAAAUCUGGCCCUCUCAGGGUCCGAGUUGUAAUUUGUAGAGGGCGCUUUGGCGUUGGCCCCGGCCUAAGUUCCUUGGAACAGGACNUCACAGAGGGUGAGAACCCCGUACGUGGCCGCCGGCCUCCGCCGUGUAAAGCCCCUUCGACGAGUCGAGUUGUUUGGGAAUGCAGCUCUAAAUGGGAGGUAAAUUUCUUCUAAAGCUAAAUACUGGCCAGAGACCGAUAGCGCACAAGUAGAGUGAUCGAAAGAUGAAAAGCACUUUGGAAAGAGAGUCAAAAAGCACGUGAAAUUGUUGAAAGGGAAGCGCUUGCAGCCAGACUUGCCUGUAGUUGCUCAUCCGAGCUCCCGCUCGGUGCACUCUUCUGCGGGCAGGCCAGCAUCAGUCCGGGCGGUCGGAUAAAGGCCUCGGGAAUGUAGCUCCCCUCGGGGAGUGUUAUAGCCCGGGGUGCCAUGCGACCAGCCUGGACUGAGGUCCGCGCAUCUGCUAGGAUGCUGGCGUAAUGGCUGUAAGCGGC